GACCCCGUAGUUCAGUGGUAGAAUGUGUGAUUCCAGUGCGUACAUAUGUACCCGGUGGUUCCACAAGGUCAUCCGUUCAAUCCGGGUCGGGGUCA
This is a non-coding RNA of Artomyces pyxidatus, 95 nucleotides long. NCBI's taxonomy places the organism in Eukaryota, Fungi, Basidiomycota, Agaricomycetes, Russulales, Auriscalpiaceae. The record is from the annotation of a GenBank genome assembly.